CCAGUAUUGCAUUGCUGCUUGA
This 22-nucleotide microRNA is filed under the name Alligator mississippiensis (American alligator). RNAcentral's name for it is "Ami-Mir-15-P2c_3p* (star (passenger))". Lineage: Eukaryota; Metazoa; Chordata; Crocodylia; Alligatoridae. RNAcentral also lists the same sequence under 1 other name. The record is from RNAcentral.